UCCAGUGUUUCACAUAACUACGAAAACCCAACUGCGACCUACAUAUUUAACAGAGUUUGUGAGUGAUACAGUAAAGUGCCUCAGAAACCUACCUGUAGAGAAGUUAAUUCUGGACAUGGAGACUCAUCAAUAGAUGGAAGAACUGUUCCCAGUUCCAAUCAAGUCCCUGAUAGCAGACCUCAACUAUUUGGAGAGUGGGCUUCUUUGCGAUAGACUACCUAGUCACAGCUGUAACAAUGAGGGUGCAACAUUGUAUCGUGGGCAGUUGAAGGGUUCUAAGGAAGAUCAGAUGAAACCAGACUUAAUAAGUCAAGGACAUUAUAUUCCACCUCAUGUGGCGUCCAGACUUCUUCAGUGGUGCAAUCAGCCUGGCAAUUUUUAUUUCCAUCCAGCCUAUUAAAUAAUUGCUGAACCUAUUCAGGUGAGACAGAAAGUACUGUUACCUCUUUUUUCUUAUGGACCUCCCUACUAUGCACCCUUCACUUGAUGGCAUGGUACAUAGCUUGGACCUCAUCUCUUUGAUCUCAAAGGUUUUCAGGUUUUACUAUGGAUCAUCAGGCCUUACAAGGCAUUCAGAAAUAGAUGGGAUAUAAAUCUAAAGUGAUGUACAUCAAUAGCCUGGCAAACUUUAUGAAGACAAAAAACCCUGGCCUUACAGUUGAAAUAUCACAAUAUUGUCUGGCCAAGCUAGGAGCGAGACUGAACACAAUUUAAGUCUGUCCUUCGGAACUGCACUAAAGAAUUUCUCACUUCAUCAUUGACAUCAGAUGUGGCAUCAACUGUUGCCUGACUUGUUAGCUGCAGGCUUGAACAGAAAAGACGUGCUAUGAGUGCUAGUAGUUACUAAGAUAUUUUCACUGUCUUCUCUCUUAUUUGGUAUGUCACUGAUGUCAUUAACAAUAUACUGACAAUCAUUUAGCUCCUCAUUAAUUAAUAAGACAUUUUCAAUUUCUUCGCCAUUAUCUUCUAUCUCACUGAAAUCAUUAACAAUAGUCUGAUAAUCAUUGAGUUCCUUAUUAGUUAAUAAGACAUUUUCAAAUUCUUCUCUUAUUUUGUAUCUCACUGACAAUAGCAACAUUGGCUUUAUCUGACUUAUCAUAUUCUCAGUACGACUACUCAUGUUAUACGUUCUGUUUUCUACAGUAUUACAAUUUAGAUCACAAUUAUCCAUUUCUACCUCAUAGGGCCCAUCUCCCAGUAUGGACAGUAUUAUUUCAAGUUUUCUUUCCAACUUUUUGUCCCCCACCUCCCUUAUUUGUAUCCUUUCCAUUAGCUUUAUUUCCAUUUCUAGGGUUCAUCUCUCUAAAUCUAGUCUUUGCAGAUGAACAACAAACUCUUUUCAUUCCUCACCCUCAAUUCCCAUCAUCUUAGCCUGUUGUAUUAGUGCAUCAAUCGAACGAGGUUUAAAGUCGCCCAUGCUAACCAAAAUAAGGAAUAUUACUGAAUUUUAAAAUUUAAAUUCACUUAUAGAGGUUAAGUUAAAAGUAACACUGUUUUACUUAUAUCUCACAAGAGAUUAUAAAAAGAUCAAGACAAAAAAAAAUAAUUUCCGGCCUCUAUCUUCAUUACCGACAAGGUAAUGUACGAUUUGACCUGAGAUGCCCGACACAACAGACAACAAAAGAAAACUCAACUUUUCUGUGCUGUCUGAUGCCAGGGAAGAGAUGACAACUCUAUCCACACAACAGUCUCUUUGAGAAAGCAGAAUCUUCUGGGGCGUCAGGUCACCAUUCAUCCUCCGUGUAAGCACCUCAUGAUGCACGGCAGACAUAAAAAAUAAAUUUAAAAAAAAGUUUUUUUAAAUGGCAAAAUAAUAGCAAUAAUAAUGAUGAUGUAGAUAAGGAGGUAAUUACUUGUUACAAAGAUACAAAGUGAUACUCCAAUAAUCUGAUUAGUUUAAUACUUGACACUAUAGUAACUCAAUUAGUUCAGUACUCAAUAUACGGUAUGUAAUUCAAUCAGUUCAGUAAUCCACAAUAUACGGCAUGUACUUCAAUCAGUUCAGUAAUCCACAAUAUACUGUAUGUCCUUGCAAUGUCAAAGUAUACAAGCAAUGAGAAAGUACUCAAAUACUCCAAUAAGUUUGAUGAUUGACAAUAUAUAGAUCUGGUAGUCCAAUCAGUUAAGUAGUCCACAAUAUACGGUAUGUCCUUGCAAUGUCAAAGUACACAAGUAAUGAGAAAGUACUCAAAUAAUCCAAAUAGUUCAAUACUAGAGAUGGGAAUCGAACCCAACUUUUAAAGUUCGGGUUCGGUUCGAUGACGAGUAUAGUUCGGGUUCGGUUCGGUCAGGUCUAAAGUUCGGGUUCGGCUCGGUUCGAUGCUAUGAAAUUAUGUAAUAGCAAAAUUAAGUUAUAAGGUUUAAUGCAAUUUAUUAGUUAAAACUUUUUUAUUUGAAUUUUUACAUGAAACAAAUACUUUGCAACAUAUAAUAGGCCUAUGGGCAAUACUUUUUCAAAAAUAAUGUUGCCUAAAUACAUUUAAAGCGU
Molecule: long non-coding RNA, 2488 nt
Organism: Biomphalaria glabrata
Lineage: Eukaryota; Metazoa; Mollusca; Gastropoda; Planorbidae
Exons: 4
Source: RefSeq, a predicted model, not a curated record